UACAGAGGGGGCAAGCGUUGUUCGGAAUUACUGGGCGUAAAGGGCGCGUAGGCGGCCUGUUAAGUCGAACGUGAAAUCCCCGGGCUCAACCCGGGAACUGCGUCCGAUACUGGCAGGCUUGAAUCCGGGAGAGGGAUGCGGAAUUCCAGGUGUAGCGGUGAAAUGCGUAGAUAUCUGGAGGAAUACCGGUGGCGAAGGCGGCGUUCUGGACUGCAACUGACACUGUAAAACGAAAGCCAGGGGAGCAAACGGG
RNAcentral lists this ribosomal RNA (253 nucleotides) under uncultured bacterium. RNAcentral describes it as "partial 16S ribosomal RNA". It matches the Rfam family "Bacterial small subunit ribosomal RNA", at positions 524 to 776 of the family's 1533-position model. The record is from RNAcentral.